GCCAUCACUAACAUUUACGCCCCCUCCUCACGCGCUCUCAAGCAACAAUUCCUUGAUGAACUGUUAGCUAUCGCCCAACCAGAUGACUCGCCCUGGCUACUCGUCGGUGACUUCAACCUCCUCCGUUUCCCCUCGGACAAAAACAAUGAUGCGUUUAGACAGACAGAGGCCAACGCCUUCAACCAAACUAUUGAUGAGCUUGCCCUCAUCGAGUUACCACUUCUAGACCGCCAAUUCACUUGGACUAACAAUAGAACCACACCCACCCUAGAACGCAUCGACCGCGCCUUCUUCAACUUAGCUUGGGUUGAUGCCUUUCCCAACUCCUCCCUCACAUCCCUCACGCGUUUCACGUAUGAUCACGUCCCCCUCAUCAUCCAUGUCACCACAACAAUCCCGCGCUCAAACUUCUUUAAAUUUGAACCUGAUUGGGCCAAAUUGCAACCCUGCCGAGAUAUAAUCUCCUCGGUUUGGGCCUCACAUCGGCCCACUUCACCGCCCAAUUCUGCCGCCUCCCUUGCCACACUGCUCAAACAUACUCGGGCCGCGCUCAAAAAAUGGGCUCGCUCGCGCAUUCCCGCCCCCUCCGUGAAUCUUGCUGCAAAAUUGCCAUCUCUGCCCUCGACCACGUAG
RNAcentral lists this ribosomal RNA (633 nucleotides) under Triticum aestivum (bread wheat). RNAcentral's name for it is "partial small subunit ribosomal RNA". The record is from RNAcentral. Lineage: Eukaryota; Viridiplantae; Streptophyta; Magnoliopsida; Poales; Poaceae.